ACCUGGGUGGCUCAGUUGGUUGAGUGUCUGACUUCAACUCAGGUCAUGAUCUCACAGCUUGUGGGUUCCAGCCCUGCACCAGGCU
This 85-nucleotide transfer RNA is filed under the name Felis catus (domestic cat). It matches the Rfam family "tRNA". Rfam says of the family: Transfer RNA (tRNA) molecules are approximately 80 nucleotides in length. Their secondary structure includes four short double-helical elements and three loops (D, anti-codon, and T loops). The record is from Rfam by way of RNAcentral. RNAcentral also lists the same sequence under 2 other names. Lineage: Eukaryota; Metazoa; Chordata; Mammalia; Carnivora; Felidae.